GUGCGAAGGCGGCAGCAUCAGCGCGAUCAAGGCCGCCAUCGAGGUAACGUUGAC
This 54-nucleotide small RNA is filed under the name Sinorhizobium meliloti 2011. Its description in RNAcentral is "putative ncRNA". The record is from RNAcentral. Lineage: Bacteria; Pseudomonadati; Pseudomonadota; Alphaproteobacteria; Hyphomicrobiales; Rhizobiaceae.